AAUCUAUGGAUUAAAUAUAAAGUAUUGGCUUUUAGGGGCCACUGACAGGGAAGAAUAAUGAGAAUGAGCUUGCUUUUAUAGAAUUGCCCCUUAUAUGAAUUUUUACAUCACUGAGAAAAAUGUCUUCUAUGCUUUCUCUCCCUCCUUCUCUUCCUUUCUCAAUAAUUAGGGGUAAACUUCCUUGACUCACUCUUGUAUUUUGUUUUAGACUGUAUCUAACGUCCCUGUAGAAAGAACCACCUUACAUAUUAUUAAAUCACCAGGCAGGCUUAAAGACCAUCUGAAGCUGUAUUUUAUUUCAGACCACUGGAGUUCUUCUACUGUUUGACAAUUGGGUUGAUCCUAGCUAUAGAAUCUUAUUUUUCCCUAGAAGUGAUAAUCUAUGACAAAUAUUGGGGAUUAAUACAAGCUCACUGAAUAAUGUCCAUGGAAACAAGAGAAAGAAACCCUUUGUUUCUCUCUCUCUCUCUCUCUCUCUCUCUCUCUCUCCUUCCACUCCCCCCCCCAACUACUACAUUUUUUUCUGCAACUAAGACUUUUGGAAUUUUUAUAACAUCAAGAAUGCUUACCUUCUGCAGAAAGUCCUUGACCCAGAGGUACCUUGGGAAAUUUUAGGAGCUGGCCUAAUCCUAUAUAUAUUCCAGGCAAAUUUUGACAGGCUUAUUGCUUUUCAUCAUUAAGUGAUCCUGGAACUUUUCCUAAAUAGUCAGGCAUGUUAACACUAGCAUCUUGAUCCAGUUCCAACUCAACCUUCAAGUUAUUCCAUUUAGGCUAGUCACUGCGUUUUCCCUUACUCUGUCUGUGACCUAAGCCAUUCCAGGAGACCUCUGUGUGUGCUGUUAAUAUUUGUAGAGUUCUCAGGGGACAGAACUCCAGAAAAGCUACAUAAUAUGGCUUUAUUAUUAUUACUAAUCACAGGGCCCUACCUCAAAGGAAUGAAGGCAAAAAAAGAUGAAUAAGCAUUGAUAAAUGGCUUGCAAAAUAGAAAAUGCUGUUUAAAAAAAAAAAGAGCCCUAAAUCUACUAUAAAGAGUGGAGACAGCAUGCAAAUGUGAUUAGGGAGAUGGGGUCAGAGGAUGACUGCUCGAGUGUGGUGCAGUUAGGGUCAGGGUGACCGAAUUCCACUAUGAUGUAAUCCUUGCACAUACCAAUCUCAGAAGCAGGCAUUGGGAAGCAGGCUGUUCAACGUGGCAGUACAGCUCUGCUUAUGGAGGGGUAAAGAGAACAAAAACACUUUGGUUUCUUGCUGUGCUGGGAUCCCACUCUCCCUGUCACUGGCUGCCACUAAAUUUAACUCUCACCACCAUGAAAAAUGUCAAAAUAUGUGUGUUAAGUAAAGGCUGCUCAGCCAGCCUCCUAAAAGAAAACAUUUAGCAAUAACAGAUUUUCUAGGAUAGAUAGUAUUAUGGGCAGUGGUUAGCCCGUUUACUGUGGCAAUUUAUUACUUACAGUUUCUUCAGAAAUUUAAUCAAAACAGAUGAAAGGCUUAGUUAGGCCUUGGGCAAGCCUAGGUUUUACAAGAUGAGAUAAAAGAUAAAGGAAAUAUAUUCUCUGAGAAAUCUGGUCCUGGGGGUAUGGGAAGAUGUAGUUAGACAUGAAGCACCUGCAGGCCAUGAGGCUCAGGUGGGUUUUAUGCUCUCGAAGCAGCAGUGGCUAUGGACAAUUCUUUCAUCUUACUUAUACCUGUCUACAUCCUACUUUCUAUGUCUCCUGCCCAUAGGAAGGGAGCACACUAUUUUCCACCACACAGAGAUUCCAAGAAACAAAUACAAUUUUAAUUUUUGGAAGACUUUGUAGUUCCUGGAAGAAAGCUGCUGCCCAGAGGGACUUUAUUACCACGUACUCUGCUUUCCAGGUGCACGGGGGUCCAGACCCCAGGUGCAAGGAUAUCGAAAUUUCAACACCAUGCGUUUUCAUUUUCUCACUUGCGUCUGCUGUAUGCAGUACCCGCCACUUCACGAGAGGCAGGAUCAGUUCUCAAAAUGAAAUUAGGAAACACUGGUGACUUACAGACCUGUGAACAUCAAAACUGAAAGAGAACUUGUAAGCAAGCAACCAAAGCCGAUCCGGGAAGCUUCAGUUCCUUCUUCGCAUUCCUGGCAGACAUGAGCCAACCUUGCUUAAAGAUUUUCACAGAGUACACUAGCUCUCAGAGUGGUGUUUCCUUCAGGGGGUGCAUGUUCUUGUUACAAAAUUAUAUGAGAAUUAUAGGUAUGUAUGUGCAUAACUUGUAUACCCAGCUAGGAAAGGCCCAAUCCCACAAAGCUGUAUUUUCUUAUUUAAAAGCUGACCACAGUGCUGAGAAUCACAGCCUUACAUAUGAGGAAGUUAAGACCAGAGUGAAAUUGUGUAUAAACCUGGCAAGGGUGCCCAUAGUCUUUACUGCAGUUUUAAGGGGAUAUACUUUUGUUGUUGGCACCAAACAUAUAUUUUUAUUGAUUUAGAAUGUCUGUGGUGAGAACAUAUUAUAAAUAAAACUUUACUGAUUUUCCUUCUCUCUCUCUCUCUCUUUCUCUCUCUCUCUCUCUCUUUCUGCAGCAACCAAAUGCUUUUACCCACUGGAGUCUAAUGAGUAACAGCUGUGCUUGAAAGGGUCCUACAGAUAAAAAUCAAAAUGUGCAGAUGGCAAAGAAGAAUAUAUCCCAGAAUUCCAGCAGUUAUGAAAAGAUAACAUUAAGUACAGCCGGAGGUCCAGAAGGGAUGUGGUUAAGACUUGUCAAGCUAUUUAAAGUCAUUUACAAGGAGAAAUCCCACACUCAAUGACUCUUAGGAGCAUAACUUUCUGCCUAAGAAAAAGCAAUGAACGUAUUCAGCCAUUUGUGAUAGAGGUUAGUGUCCCUUCAUUUAUAUGCAAAUUAGUCAAAAUGCUAGGAAAACCUAUAAAAUUUUAAAUAUUCCACACCAGGGGCUUACACUAAGAGUCUUUGUCAAAUAAAAUGAGUUCUCACAGAUCUGCUUUGAGCCACUUUGCCUCUAAGCACAGUCUCUCUCAGAGGAAGGAAACAGUAAAGUUCUCACACAGAGAGAAAAACGUUUACCACUCAGUAAAAAUCCCUGGGCCCUGCUGUAUGAAAGCUUUAAUUUAGCUCAGCUCACUGCUCCAUGAGGUAAUUUCGAGUGCCAAUAAAAGGAGAUUAUUUUUGGACUGCGAAUCUGCCUGGCACAUUCUUUGAACUUAGUAGAGCUAAAUAAAGCUAUCCAAACUCGCAUGAUUUUUGGAGAAGGUCAUCCACACAGGAUAUCCCUGAGAUAGUUGUUAUGUACGCACUGCAGAGCAAACACGAAAGGAAGAGAUUAGGGGCCAUAGGCAUGAAUAGACCCACUUCUUAAACAUACAAUAACUGGAAAAGAUAUGAACCAGGAGCUACAAGAGCAAUCACAUACAUAGCCAGGACAUAUGGGAAGGACAGAAGGAAUGACGUAGGCUGCCUGUACAGAACAAUUGUGCCUUAGCUCUGGCUGUGGAGGAGAGCUGGUUUCUACUGGGAUAACUACUUCACCUCCUUAAGACCCAGUCACUUUACUGUAGUGGAAACCAACUCUCUUCCCUGAAGGGUUGUAAUUGAAUCUGAGCCUGUUACAUGUGUUAAAGCUUCCUGAAAACCAUUGUACAAGGCUAAUAUGUUAGUCUGGGUGAGUUUUCUUGCCAACAUCAUCAGUUUCUUUCUUCUUCUUCUGAUAACUGUGAGACAAGCUUACUAUGGACAAUUAGAGAAGACUAGAGAAAAGAAAAGAAAAUAUCAAUAUUGUAUCAUUGACAGAUGAAUUUAAUAUUUAACAUUUAAUACAUUGUCUUCUUGUAGGUUUUCUGCUGUUGUUGGUUUUUUUGUUUGUUUGUUUUUGUGGUGGUGGUUUUGUUUGUUUGUUUGUUUUUUGUUUGUUUAGCCUCUUGUAGCAGUUGAGAGAAAUAGCACCUUAUUACUUCAUUAACUUCCAGAAAUUAAUCCUGUACUUUUGAUUUGCACCAUCCAUCAGAAUAAAUUCAGAACAGAACCAGAGGGAAGUUGCUGUGGACUGGAUUCAGCCAGUGGACCAUAAGAUGUGGCUGGCAUACAGUGUUCACAUCUUUGCUCGUCCCCCAGUAUCAGCUAGCCAAGCUAAAGUGAGAGAGAGAAUGGGGGAGUCAACCGACAGCUGUAAGAGAAGAGUGGAAUGGAAGGGCCAAAGGGUCUCUAGAGAAGGGGCCCCUGGCCAAGCCCCUUCCAGUCCCCCCUUCUGUGAGACCUGGCUGCCAAGCCUGUGAUUUCUUGGUGAUGGUCCUUAAUCCUUUGUCAGGUUAAUUGACAGCGAAGUCUGCACUUUUGCAGCUAAUGAUAAAUAGAGCUUUUAAAGUUGUAAUUUCUUGUUUAACUAAUGCCAGUUGCAAAUACUUUGUGCUGAGAAAUAAUUCCUCUCUGCCAAAUAAAAUACAGUGGACGUCUGUGGUGUGUUUCUCAGCUUAUUGUUAGUCACAGAUCGCCUGACAGAGCACUUUCUACACGGGAGAUAAAUGCCAGGCAGACUGACUGCCAAUUUCAGCACAGAAAAGACUUCUCUUAUGAAAUGAAAAGACAGUUUUGUUUUUCUAAAAAAAAAACAUUAAUAAAGUUCCCUCCCACCUAUAUUUUUAAACUUUAACAAAACCAUUUCAGAAAUAAAUGCCUUAGUACCUUGAAAUGAGGAUUCGUUGAGUGUCUGUGUACGCUUCUCUCAUUCCCUCUUCCAUCCAGAGGCUCUGAUUUGCACAAAGCACCUCCAGCCUCCACAUAAGGGCCAAGAAGACACUCUGUAGUCAGCUCACAGAAUGCUGGGGUGCUAUGGGGUAUAGAACCAAGUAAAGAUUUCCCCAAGGGCCUGCCCAUCUCUACAUAGAAUAGAAGGUGACAAGGAGUAGUGCCUCAUUUAUGAACGGUAGAGGCAGACUCUCUUUGGCUUGUUUAGAAUUAAAUUGUUAUUACUGCUCCCCCACAUGCUGAGAAGAGCCAGCAUGCCUCACAACACAGACAGAAGGAUUUCAAGGCCCUUCGCACACAUGCCUGUAAUGAUAUUUGAAUGUCAGUGAAGCUGGCAGCCUAGACACAUCCUGUGGUCAUUUUCUUUUUCAAAAAGGAAGUAAAUUGACAUAUCUGAUUUUAUGGUUUGGGAAAUUAGUUUUUAUGAAUAAGAAUGCUUACAGUGAGGCCCUCCAGGAGCCCAGGAAGUUCACUAGGUCUCAGGUGAAAUACAAGAGGGCAAGGCUCAUCCAAUCAUGACUUGUGUGACCACUUGUUGCUUAUAGAGGUGAACAUGGGCCUUUAGGGGAUAUAUCUGUACCCUUUGGGAAAUAUUUCAGAUCUCCUUUGUAUUGAAACAAACAAACAAAAAUCAUUACAUGUCCUUUGAUAGUGACUUAGAUACAGAUAUACUUCACAGAUUGGCCUACAACAUGACUUUGGAGAUUU
Mus musculus (house mouse) is the source of this 5419-nucleotide long non-coding RNA. RefSeq annotates it as predicted gene, 50607. The record is from RefSeq and is a predicted model, not a curated record. The transcript is spliced from 2 exons. NCBI's taxonomy places the organism in Eukaryota, Metazoa, Chordata, Mammalia, Rodentia, Muridae.